This 253-nucleotide ribosomal RNA is filed under the name uncultured bacterium. RNAcentral describes it as "partial 16S ribosomal RNA". It matches the Rfam family "Bacterial small subunit ribosomal RNA", at positions 524 to 776 of the family's 1533-position model. The record is from RNAcentral.
UACGGAGGGUGCAAGCAUUAAUCGGAAUUAUUGGGCGUAAAGGGUGCGUAGGUGGUGAUAAAAGUCAGGCGUGAAAUCCCGGGGCUCAACCCCGGAACGGCGUUUGAUACUUUAUCUCUUGAGGGUUGGUGGGGAAAGCGGAAUUCCACGUGUAGCGGUGAAAUGCGUAGAUAUGUGGAAGAACACCUGUGGCGAAAGCGGCUUUCCAACUUAUUCCUGACACUGAGGCACGAAAGCGAGGGGAGCAAACAGG